This 450-nucleotide ribosomal RNA is filed under the name Rhipicephalus sanguineus (brown dog tick). RNAcentral describes it as "partial 16S ribosomal RNA". The record is from RNAcentral. Lineage: Eukaryota; Metazoa; Arthropoda; Arachnida; Ixodida; Ixodidae.
UUUUUUUUUUUUUAUUUUUCUUUUCCUCUGGUUUCAAAUGUUUUUAAAUUGCUGUGGUAUUUUGACUAUACAAAGGUAUUGAAAUAAGAUUUUAAUUGAAUGCUAAGAGAAUGGAAGUCCAGAAAAAAACUUUUUUUAAAUUAAAAAUUGAAGUUUUUUUAAUUUGUGCAGAAACAAUUAUUUAUAUUAAAGACAAGAAGACCCUAUGAAUUUAUUAAAUUUUUAUUUAAUAUGUAAUUACUAUUAGAAAAAUUUUGGCUGGGGCGGCUAGAAAAUAUUAUGAACUUUUUAAAAAUAAAAUGAUCCAUUAUUAAUGAUUUUAUGUUAAAUACUCUAGGGAUAACAGCGUUAUAUUUUUUGAUAGAUCAUAUUGACAAAAAAGUUUGCGACCUCGAUGUUGGAUUAGGAUACUUUUUUAAUGAAGAUAUAAAAAAAGAAGUUGUCACGAUC